AGGGUUCGAUUCUGGCUCAGAACGAACGCUGGCGGCGCGUUUAAGCAUGCAAGUCGCAGGGUAAAAUUUAGCAAUAGAAUUGAGACUGGCGAACGGGUGAGUAACACGUGAAAAUCUACCUUGAGAUGGGGGAUAGCCGGUAGAAAUAUCGGGUAAUACCGCAUAUGCCGAGAGGUGAAAGGGGCAACUGCUCCGUCUUGAGAUGAGUUUGCGUCUGAUUAGAUAGUUGGCGAGGUAAAGGCUCACCAAGUCUACGAUCAGUAGCCGGCCUGAGGGGGUGAUCGGCCACAUUGGGACUGAGACACGGCCCAGACUCCUACGGGAGGCAGCAGCUAAGAAUAUUCCGCAAUGGGAGAAAUCCUGACGGAGCGACGCCGCGUGAACGAUUGAAGGCAGAAAUGUUGUAAAGUUCUUUUAUUAGGGAAGAAUAAGGUUAGGAGUGGAAAGCUUAAUCGAUGACGGUACCUAAUGAAUAAGCCACGGCUAACUACGUGCCAGCAGCAGC
Molecule: ribosomal RNA, 505 nt
Filed under: uncultured bacterium
Lineage: Bacteria
Description: bacterial SSU rRNA
Rfam family: Bacterial small subunit ribosomal RNA
Source: RNAcentral